CUGCUGCCUCCCGUAGGAGUUUGGACCGUGUCUCAGUUCCAAUGUGGGGGACCUUCCUCUCAGAACCCCUACUGAUCGUCGCCCCGGUGGGCCGUUACCCCGCCGGCAAGCUAAUCAGACGCAUCCCCAUCCUUUACCGGCCGAAGCCUUUGGUCAUGAAAAUAUGCAUCAACAUGACAACAUACGGUAUUAAUCCGCCUUUCGACGGGCUGUCCCAUAGUAAACGGGCAGGUUGGAUACGCGUUACUCACCCGUAGCCGGUCCGGUCCGAC
RNAcentral lists this ribosomal RNA (272 nucleotides) under uncultured bacterium. Its description in RNAcentral is "partial 16S ribosomal RNA". The record is from RNAcentral.